Molecule: long non-coding RNA, 887 nt
Filed under: Marmota monax (woodchuck)
Lineage: Eukaryota; Metazoa; Chordata; Mammalia; Rodentia; Sciuridae
Source: RNAcentral
UUUUUGCCUCCAUGAGCCAAAGAAGUCCAGAAGGGGUAGGCCCUAGGGUGUAGAGAAAGAUAUUAUCACACACAAAGCCUUCUUGAAGAUACAAGCUGUGUCAUGGAGUCCUCAGUUUCUGCUCUACAUGAAGAGUGAACAGUUAACUCAUCUGGUCCCACAUAUGUGGUUAGUAGUCACUCACCCAAUUCCUCAUCCAGUGUUAAAAGUCAUAACUGAGUCCUCAUUUUGAGAUCACCAUUUCCUCAGAUAACCCUACAUCUGGAGUCAGUGACCAUUCAUCAGGCUUCAAAUCUCAUGUCAAUGGACAUUCAGCCUAACUGAGUCUUCAUUUUGAGAUCACCAUUUCCUCAGAUAACCCUACAUCUGGAGUCAGUGAUCAUUCAUCAGGCUUCAAAUCUCAUGUCAGUGGAUAUUCAGCCUCAAAUCUAGGCUUUAUCAUCAUCCAUCUGGGGCCACACACACAUACUAGUGAUUCCUCACCUAACCUCACAUGUAGUGUCAAUAGUUAUUAAUCGAGCUGCACUUCCAUGUUCAGAAGUCACCCACCUUGCCUUGAAUGAUGUCCCCAGAGCACCAGGGCUGAAGCUGUUGCCAGCUCCCAAGGUACCACCAUCUCCGGAACUGCCAAACCAUGAACAAGCAUAGUAUCACCAGAUUCCCUGGACUCUGAAGGCAGCAGCUGCCACAGUGUCUGCAAGUCAGAGCUUGGGUCAGCUGACCCCAGAGAAUACCCAUUUCUCCCUUAACCCAAGUCAGGUCUUCUUGCAGCCAUUGCAUUUUCCUCAGCCUAAUGGCAGUUUACUCUGAGGUCAUCAUUGCAUCACAGAACAAAGAAUUCCCAUCCCCCAUAUGGGAUGAGGCCUAACAGCCUUCUUCCAGAAUUU